This 473-nucleotide ribosomal RNA is filed under the name uncultured Sphingobacteriales bacterium. RNAcentral's name for it is "bacterial SSU rRNA". It matches the Rfam family "Bacterial small subunit ribosomal RNA", at positions 907 to 1382 of the family's 1533-position model. Lineage: Bacteria; Pseudomonadati; Bacteroidota; Sphingobacteriia; Sphingobacteriales. The record is from RNAcentral.
GAAUUGACGGGGCCGGCACAAGCGGAGGAGCAUGUGGUUAAUUCGAUGAUACGCGAGGAACCUUACCUGGGCUCGAACGUAAGAUGACUGUAGGUGAAAGCUUACAUCUCUUCGGAGCAUUUUACGAGGUGCUGCAUGGUUGUCGUCAGCUCGUGCCGUGAGGUGUCGGGUUAAGUCCCAUAACGAGCGCAACCCCUACCUUUAGUUGCCAUCAGGUUAAGCUGGGGACUCUAAAGGAACUGCCUACGCAAGUAGUGAGGAAGGCGGGGAUGACGUCAAAUCAGCACGGCCCUUACGUCCAGGGCUACACACGUGCUACAAUGGCCGAUACAGAGGGCAGCUACCUGGUGACAGGAUGCAAAUCUCCAAAGUCGGUCUCAGUUCGGAUCGGAGUCUGCAACCCGACUCCGUGAAGUUGGAUUCGCUAGUAAUCGCGCAUCAGCCAUGGCGCGGUGAAUACGUUCCCGGGCCUU